RNAcentral lists this ribosomal RNA (301 nucleotides) under uncultured bacterium. RNAcentral describes it as "partial 16S ribosomal RNA". It matches the Rfam family "Bacterial small subunit ribosomal RNA", at positions 509 to 809 of the family's 1533-position model. The record is from RNAcentral.
CAGUAGCCACGGUAAUACGAGGGGGGCAAGCGUUGUUCGGAAUUACUGGGCGUAAAGCGCACGUAGGCGGACCGGAAAGUCAGAGGUGAAAUCCCAGGGCUCAACCUUGGAACUGCCUUUGAAACUCCUGGUCUUGAGGUCGAGAGAGGUGAGUGGAAUUCCGAGUGUAGAGGUGAAAUUCGUAGAUAUUCGGAGGAACACCAGUGGCGAAGGCGGCUCACUGGCUCGAUACUGACGCUGAGGUGCGAAAGCGUGGGGAGCAAACAGGAUUAGAUACCCGGGUAGUCCCUGUCUCUUAUAU